UCCAGACUCCUACGGGAGGCAGCAGUGGGGGAUAUUGCACAAUGGGGGAAGCCCUGAUGCAGCAACGCCGCGUGAGUGAAGAAGUCAUUCGUGAUGUAAAGCUCUAUCAGCAGGGAAGAAAAUGACGGUACCUGAGUAAGAAGCCCCGGCUAACUACGUGCCAGCAGCCGCGGUAAUACGUAGGGGGCAAGCGUUAUCCGGAUUUACUGGGUGUAAAGGGAGCGUAGACGGCCAGACAAGUCUGAAGUGAAAGUCCAGCGCUUAACGUUGGAAGUGCUUUGGAAACUGCCGGGCUGGAGUGCAGGAGGGGCAGGCGGAAUUCCUGGUGUAGCGGUGAAAUGCGUAGAUAUUAGGAGGAACACCAGUGGCGAAGGCGACUAUCUGGCACAUAACUGACGCUGAGGAGCGAAAGCGUGGGUAGCAAACAGGAUUAGAUACCCGCGUA
RNAcentral lists this ribosomal RNA (445 nucleotides) under uncultured bacterium. RNAcentral's name for it is "bacterial SSU rRNA". It matches the Rfam family "Bacterial small subunit ribosomal RNA", at positions 330 to 792 of the family's 1533-position model. The record is from RNAcentral.